AGGGGUUUCUAUUUCUCCCUCCCCCAUCUGGUCUAGAAAGACAUUAAAGGACUACUUCCUGUGGAUGACGGCGUACCCUCUAACGAGAGGGGUGACACAAAUAUCUAUUAGGGGUCACAUUUGGUUAAGUACUGUCGUGGUGAUAGAAUAUAUGAUAGGACCACUGUGGUGGGUAUGACCGUGGUCAUAGAUUGUACCAUGGUUUGGCAAGCCAAAAAUGUACUUGAGCAAAUUGUCAUUAUAUAUCUGAUAUGCUCAUUCCACAUGGAUAGUCAGAAAUCCGUAUCUCC
Molecule: long non-coding RNA, 290 nt
Filed under: Carica papaya (papaya)
Lineage: Eukaryota; Viridiplantae; Streptophyta; Magnoliopsida; Brassicales; Caricaceae
Description: long non-coding RNA (CPAP_LNC000177)
Source: RNAcentral